GUCUACAGCCAUGCCACCCUGAACACGUCUGAUCUCGGAAGCUAAGCAGGAUCGGGCCGGGUUGUACUUGGAUAGGAAACCGCCUAGGAAGACCAGGUGCUGUAGAUG
This 108-nucleotide ribosomal RNA is filed under the name Pteropus alecto (black flying fox). The record is from RNAcentral. Lineage: Eukaryota; Metazoa; Chordata; Mammalia; Chiroptera; Pteropodidae.